UCCCCGAGCCCCGAGUGGUAGCCGCGUUUAUUGGGUCUAAAGCAUCCGUAGCCCGAUUAGUAAGUUCUCGGUGAAAUUGUCCAGCUUAACUGAACGAAUUGCCUUGAAUACUGCUAAUCUAGGGAUCGGGUUAAGCUAGGAGUAUGCCUAGGGGAGGGGUAAAAUCCAUUAAUCCUGGGUAGACUAUCAGUGGCGAAGGCGCCUAGCUGGAACGAGUCCGACGGUAAGGGAUGAGAGUUAGGGGA
Molecule: ribosomal RNA, 245 nt
Filed under: uncultured archaeon
Lineage: Archaea
Description: partial 16S ribosomal RNA
Rfam family: Archaeal small subunit ribosomal RNA
Source: RNAcentral